CCAUCAACUGCUCUCCCGUGUCCAGCACCUUAGGGAAGACCCAGCCCGCGCCGGUCCUUAGCCACCCUGCGACGACUUCCGGCCCGGUCUGCACCCUUGUGGUCCGCGGACUCACCUGCUGGGAUGGGAGAUGGUCAGGAUGGUCCUCACCCAGGGUCUGGACCCUCGAGCCCGCGUUUCCCGUGUCCUCAGGACCAGCACCCAUGGCAGCUGGAGGUUCGGACGCCCGAAGCCAGACCAAGCCGCGGCCAAGUGGGAGUGGCUGGUGGGAGCACCUGGUCCUCUGGGGGCACAGGCGGUGAAGUCAUAGAGAUCCCUGUGACUUCACGGGUGUGUUUGGCAGAGCGAUGGCCCACCCCGUCCCCCAACCCUGUCAGUACGUCACGGCGGUGGGCUGAGUUCGUCUUGCCGAAAGUCUUGUAUUAAAGCCUCUUGGCGGCAUAGAA
Molecule: long non-coding RNA, 446 nt
Organism: Chinchilla lanigera (long-tailed chinchilla)
Lineage: Eukaryota; Metazoa; Chordata; Mammalia; Rodentia; Chinchillidae
Exons: 2
Source: RefSeq, a predicted model, not a curated record